This 427-nucleotide ribosomal RNA is filed under the name uncultured bacterium. RNAcentral's name for it is "partial 16S ribosomal RNA". It matches the Rfam family "Bacterial small subunit ribosomal RNA", at positions 355 to 774 of the family's 1533-position model. The record is from RNAcentral.
UGGGGAAUAUUGGACAAUGGGCGAAAGCCUGAUCCAGCCAUGCCGCGUGUGUGAAGAAGGUCUUCGGAUUGUAAAGCACUUUAAGUUGGGAGGAAGGGUUGUAGAUUAAUACUCUGCAAUUUUGACGUUACCGACAGAAUAAGCACCGGCUAACUCUGUGCCAGCCGCCGCGGUAAUACAGAGGGUGCAAGCGUUAAUCGGAAUUACUGGGCGUAAAGCGCGCGUAGGUGGUUUGUUAAGUUGGAUGUGAAAGCCCCGGGCUCAACCUGGGAACUGCAUCCAAAACUGGCAAGCUAGAGUACGGUAGAGGGUGGUGGAAUUUCCUGUGUAGCGGUGAAAUGCGUAGAUAUAGGAAGGAACACCAGUGGCGAAGGCGACCACCUGGACUGAUACUGACACUGAGGUGCGAAAGCGUGGGGAGCAAACA